This 253-nucleotide ribosomal RNA is filed under the name uncultured bacterium. RNAcentral describes it as "partial 16S ribosomal RNA". It matches the Rfam family "Bacterial small subunit ribosomal RNA", at positions 524 to 776 of the family's 1533-position model. The record is from RNAcentral.
UACGGGGGGGGCAAGCGUUGUUCGGAAUUACUGGGCGUAAAGGGCUCGUAGGCGGCCAACUAAGUCAGACGUGAAAUCCCUCGGCUUAACCGGGGAACUGCGUCUGAUACUGGAUGGCUAGAGGUUGGGAGAGGGAUGCGGAAUUCCAGGUGUAGCGGUGAAAUGCGUAGAUAUCUGGAGGAACACCGGUGGCGAAGGCGGCGUUCUAGACUGCAUCUGACACUGAAAGACGAAAGCCAGGGGAGCAAACGGG